RNAcentral lists this long non-coding RNA (11001 nucleotides) under Equus asinus (donkey). RNAcentral's name for it is "lncRNA (ENSEASG00005035877.1)". Lineage: Eukaryota; Metazoa; Chordata; Mammalia; Perissodactyla; Equidae. The record is from RNAcentral.
GGAGACGGUGGCCUGGGCCAGGGCGGCCGCACGGGAUGUUGGGGGACAAGAAAGUCUGCCUCACAUGGGAUCACGCACACGAAAAGCAGGCGGAGUGGUAAUUCCUCAGGGACCGGGCAAACAUCUGUGCUGUGAUGAGCACUUUUCCAACAGAUUCCCCGGGAAGGCGUCCCACUUCCACCCCGGCACCUCCAGGCCUCGGACGACCUGAUGGAGCAGGCUCCAGCCCCUGCUGCCUCAGUUUCCCCGCCUGUGGCUGCUCUCUGGACACGCUGUCCUAACGGAGAAGGCGAGGAAGGACGAAGCAGUUCAUCCACUCGAUCAAUGGUUCGUUCAUCCGUUCGAUCAAUCGCUCGAUCACUCAGCGUUCCUUGCGCUCCUGCCGGGCGGGUGGUGAGCUGAAGCAGGAGCAGACGGCCCUGCCCGCCGAUGCUCACGGUCCAGGGCAGCCUGCAGGCUUCGGUUUCCAUCACUGUUUGAGCAGAAAUGUCCCCGUGAAAGGGUCGGCCACUGAGCAGAGCAGGACCGAGUGUUGGGGCCACUCUACUCAGCCCUCGAUGCCCAAGGACACAUCUCCGUUUUUGUUUAUUUACGUGACCUUUGUGCCCCUGCCUAGUGCCCAGAGGAGUUUGAGGCCUUACGUAAAAGGCAAAGAAAGAUGAAACCCUGAACAGCACGCAGACGAGCCGGCAGACAGAUGCACCUCAUGGACCACAAAUCUGCCUGCCACCGGCCGUCCCUCGCUCCCCUCCCCAUCCCAGAGAGGACGGUGCAGGGAGAGGCGCCGUCGCUGACCGAUUCCCAGACCCCUCCCUGCUGACAGGGGCUGCCUGGCAGGGACCUUUGAUCCCUUCAUGGCGAGCCAGGGUGUCUGCGCUUGAAAGAACGCCUGUGCACAUGGGAGGGCGGGAAAGAGCCAGACAGAGCCAGCAUGCAGAGCCGUGCCCCCGGGAGGGAAAGCAAGGCUCAUGAGCCUUGCUGAAGCACCCGGCCGCAGGAACUCUCCAGACCUUUCUGGAAUGCUCACGAGGCACCCACGAUGGGUGGGGUCCUGGGUGUGAUGCUGAGGACGGUCGGUAAGGCAGGUGUGCGACGCAGUACGGUAACCGCUGUGUUGGGCAGCAGCUACCUUGGGGUGGGGGGUGUCUUGAAGGCUCAGCUGAGUUCAGAGCCAGGUUGCCCUGGGGCCCUGAGACCCAGCCUGCCCAGCACCUGCUCCCUUCCCCUUUGGUGUGAGCACCCCAAUCCCCUCCUCAGACUCGCUCUUCCCUGGCGUGAGCUCUGGGAUGGACCCGAGUUGGGGGAUGAAGAGGCAAGGGGACCAGCUCUGCGACCUCCUGGGAGAGGAAACGUCUGCAGGGCAGGGGCAGCGGGGACAGGAAGGGGCACGGGGAGUGGGACAGAUGUGUGUGCUGAGAACGCAGACAGCUACUCCUCUGAAGUCACUUAAGCGUUACAUUUUCACUGUUUCAAACCCAUCGGUCAGGAGCUGCUGUUGGGUCGUAUUAUUAUUUUUCUCCUUCUAAAGGUCAGCGACUCAUUGCAGCUGAUUAUGUCCCUGAACUGUGUAGACAGGCAGACCCUGCUCACCGACGUCCCCAUAUCACCCAGCUCCGGGAGACACGAAAUCUCCCCAAGACUGUCCGUCACUCACUUGCAGCUGGCACCUGGAAAUGAAAGCGACUCGUCCCGUGUUCCCAAUCAAUGUCCGCCUGCCAUCUCUGUCGAUAACUGCCGGGCGGGCCAGUCCUUUCCCUGAUUGGGAGGCACCGGGGUCAGCCUGAAGAUGCUCUGAGGGAAAAGGCGGCCGCUUGGUUCAGAGCCUCCUGGCUGGGCUGGAAUUAAGUUGGCUCUUUCUCUAAUGAAACUGACUCCAGGGGUCCCUGUGUGCCAGAGUCGAUGGCUCUCCGGAGAAGCAAUGAUGACAGUAAUAUUGAGGCCGUGCACACCUGCAGCCUCACGUUCCUCGGUGCUUUCCAGGGGCUUCGAGCCCCGUAGGAAGCAGUGGCUGCUGGGCGCACAGUAGGGGUGCAGUGAAGGCUGAGGGGACAGCCCCUGGCGCUGCGUUCCCCAUUCUUCUGACGGAGACACCGAGGCAUCGAGAGGCUUAGAAACUCACUCGUGGUUCCCGAGGACCUCAUCAUGGUCCUUGUGUUUGCCUGGGGCAGAGGCUGGCCUCUCGUGGGAAUUGACUGGAAGGGUUAGGGGCUCUCCCUGUGCGCAGAGCUCUAAACCGGAGUCCUGAGUCCAAAUCCCCAGGACAGAGAUUCUGACGGGGCCAGCCAGGGGCAGGCACACAUUCCUGUCCGCUCGGCUGUAACCGAGGGGUACGGGGCCUCACAAAGAGAGACUGUCCACCCACGAGCCUGGACAGGUGAGGGGCCAUCCCCUAAGAACGGGGGUGUCUCUUGGGCCACUGCAGCUCAAUACCCCAAAGCAGACCCUGGAUUUGGGAGUUGCUUCCCUUGUUAGCUCAGAUUUGCUGACGGGCGAGGGUGGGAGUGAGCAGAUGCGGCCGUCAGAAAUUGGGUCGGAAAGCCCACCCGGAAGGGUCAGGGGACCUGUUUUCUCUGAGAAGCUGGGCAGGGAGCCUCGUGGAGCUGGGAAACAACCCUUUUUGGCAGCCGCACGUGGGAGGGUUGUGCUCGGUGGCCCACGGGUGGGUGCCGGUAGCCUUGCUCUGGGCCCCGGAACUCUGUGUCCCUGAUCUCCACUCCCGAGGCUGUGUGUAGCUCACACCUUGGUGACUGCUCAGCCCCUCACUGAGGCCACAGCCCCCACCCCACAUAGGGUCGGUCCAUCAAAAUCACACCCCAGUUUCUCAAGGACCAUUGUCGGCCGGAAGCAUUCUGUGGUCCUCCAUCAUAACAAUCUUCCUCUGGCAAGCAUCCUUCGAUGCCUGCGUCUCCUUUUCCUCAUAGUUACUAUGGCUUGUCUUAUCUUCCUCCUCCCCCAACCCCAAGUCAAAGGGAGGAGAGAAGAUUUAAAUUGAAUACAAGAUUGGAUUUUUAAACUGGACUUCCCUGAUUGUGACCAGAAAUUGAUGGGAUCUGCCCAAGAUGUCAUUAAAGGAUGCUGUGUUCUGAUCUGGCUGCAAAACCAGAAAACCCGUAAAUAACAUUGGCUAAAACAAGAAAGAAAUUGAUUUUUCUUUCUUGAGAAGAAAUGGCUGGAAGUGGGAGUUGAGGGCUGAUGUGGGAGUUCUGCUCCAUGAAGCUCUCAGGGACCUGGGCUCCUUCCAGUUUUCUACUUCACCAUCCUUAGAAGGUGACCCUUGUCCUCGUGGUCCAAGAUGGCUGCUAGAGCUCCAGUCAUCACAACAAUGUUCUAAGAGGUAGGAUGCAGGAAAGGAAGACUCCUUUUUAAGAAAUAUUCCCAGGCAUAUUCCACAACACUCCCUCUUAUGUCUUAUGGGCCAGAAUUUGGUCACAUGACGAAACCUAGCUAUAAGGAACACUGGGGAGCAUAGUCUUUUAACUGAUGGCAGUGGGCAAUGGAAUUCUAUUACUAAGUAGAAGUAAAGACUGGUAUUGGGGGAAAUAGCAGUUUCUGCUUGAGAUAGGAAAGGACACCUGCCAGAGUUCUUGGAAAGCAGUGAUUGGAACAAUACACCUGCUUCAUGUUUAUUCCCGCGGACACUGGGACAGAGGGGUUUAAUCUACGCUGGGAGGUUAUGAGUAGGGUUCCCAGACAAAAUACAGACAGUCACCUAACAAAUAAUUUUUUAGUGUAAGUAUGUUCUGAAUAUUACACAGGCCAUACUCACACUAAAAAAUUAUUUGUUGUUUGAAGUUCAAAUUGAACUGGGCGUCCUGUGUUUUCCUCUGCUCAGUCUGGCAAUCCUAGUUAUGAAGGGGGCUAGGAAGCCCUGGGGAGGGGGGAAGGGGUCCGCGUGGAGGUGUGCCGACGCUGAGGCAGGGGCGUCGCGGUCCUGAGAGGGGCAUCACCUCGUCCGUCCCUCUCGAAAGCUUGGUGGACUUCUCGCUGGCGCUGCUAUGAAUCCUCAUAGUUCCUCCACAGCCAGAAAUCUCGGAGGCAGCGCGCUCAUCAAACCGGGGGGAUCAAUUACACGGGCCUCCUCUUCCCCGGAGUUAUGUGCUAUUCCUGCUCACGAGUGAUCCGCGGAAAUGUCACAGACUCUGCUGAUGAAUUACAUCUGUAGUUACAUUUUCUUAAGAUUUAUCCUCCUCCUGGUUUCUUAGAGGAUUUGUGGAUAUUUCAUAAAAUUCAUCCCAAGGGAAAAUAACAGGACAAUUAAAAAGCAAAAAACAGAACAAAAGCUUCUUAGAAGAGGGAGAGCGGCGGAUUUCAGGUCCAUGUGGAGCGAACUCUGGGCUGAUGAGACGCCGUUGGGCGGUGGGAGGGAGAUGGACGUGAAGCUUGUGCACGCAGAUCUUGAUUUUCUGCAUGGAAUUUAGUUUCUACGAAAGAUAAAUCGGGGCUUUAUGACGCACUUUAAAAAGUGAUCUUUCGGGUUAAAUAUCCCCGUGGGUUUUCACUGCAUGCCGAGUUCUCCUUGCGGGAGGUGGUCCCAAGGUGAUGGGCCUGAGGAGGUCGUGCUUGCUCACCCCUGGGGGGUCACGACAGUCACCUGGGAAGUUUUAAAGCCUUGGGGAGCCCAGGCCACUACCUCAGGGUCCCCGGGGAGAGGCCCAGCUGCCAGGAUGCUGGAAGCCCCCAGGCGAUGCGCCUGGGCAGUCAGGGCUGGGAACCAUGGCAGUGAGGGACGCUCUCUCAUUUUCUGGAUGGAGAAGCAGAGGCUCAGCCACGGGAGUCGUUCGUUCUGGUGGCACUAACAGAGCUGAGAUGAGGACUUUGACCUCUGACCCCUGAUCACUGUGUAUCCACAACAUUUUGUCAUUGCGCAACCUUCCAAGUACAGGUGAGAAACCGGGUCCGCUGACUGACCUCAGCUCGCUGCUGGGAUGAAUACAUUCAGGGCUAAAAUUUGUGGAGCGCUUCCCAAGUGCCAGCUGUCAUGUUAUUGUGUCCAUUGUGUCCAUUUACGUUGAUUAUUAUCACAGUCAAGGCUCACAGCAGCUCGAUGCGGGAGGCACCUAGCCAAUGAGGGAACUGAGGUCUGGAGAGGUGACAUGACUGGCCCCACGCCACAGAGCCAGGAAGUGACGGAGCCAGGAUCCGAAUCCAGCCAGCCUGGCUCCAGACCCCGCACAUUAGCCAUCCCGCCCCGUACAGUGUCUGCUGUCCUUAAAGCGGCACUUCCCAGACUGCCGUGUGCACACCAGCUGCCUGGGCCUCGUGUUCACGAGCAGGUCUGACCCAGUGGGUCUGGGCUGGGGCCGAGACUCUGCGUUGCUGACAAGGUCUCAGUGAUGCUGCUGCGCUGGUCUGGGGACCACACUUUGAACGGCAAGGAUGUAAGGCAUCAUCAUCCUUAUUUUUGGUGGUUGUUUUUUGCUUGCUUGUUUCAGCUUUAAAAAGACAUUUUCGGAAAAUGAGGAAAUACCGAGGCACAAGUAUGGAUUUUAUUAAUGUCCCCACCCAGGCUCUGCAACGAGGGUCACUAUGACUCUGCAAAGGGGACACUAAUCAAUGGCAAUGUGACAUCACUUCAUCUAGGUUUAGAUCCCUCCUGCCCUCUGCUGCAUGGUCCACUUUACCACUGAGCAAACCCAUGAGAUGCUCUCAGCUCAGUUUAUAAAUGUUAAUUUUAGAGUAGAUGCCCAUAUUGGUGAGAAAAAUCAGCCCCUUGGUCUGACAAAUUGGAGUUUUGUUGGAAUUCCCAUACAUGCCGAUGAAACUUGAGUCUUAGUUUGGGGUCCCCCCCAAAGCAGAGCUGAGACAAGCUUUGGGUACAAGUAGUUUAUUUGGAAGGUGAUCCAGGAAGCUGGUGAGGGAGAGGAAAGAGAGACAGGGAAGGGAGGAAAAACCAGUACAUGGGCUAUUAAUGCUGGGGGCAACUGGGGUGCAGUCCUCCUGGGGUCCCCGAGCUACUGUGUGGAUAGCUGCCUGGAGCAGUCGCACGGAGGGGCAGGGAAACUGUGGUGUUCAGGCAGAGCUUGCCCGGGCAACGAGGGGUAGGUGCUUGGGGGGCAUGCUGUGGAGUGUGGGGGGCUGUCUCCUGAAACUGGCUGGCACAGGCAGCACCUGCUACAGCUCGACUGAGCAAGAAGGGCCUGAUGCCCAGCCUGGGUCAUUAGACUCGUUUCCAGGGGAAGCCGACCUGUUCCUAAUCAGGUUAAUUAAAUUAAUUAGGUUAAUUAAAUUAAUCAGCUAAUUAAAUUUCUUUAAUUAGAAAUUAAAAACCAGCAAAGAGACUCUUGGUCAGCCCAAGAAGAAGGGGACCAUUUCUUAGGGGGUGUCACUGAGGGAAAGCUGAGAGACUGGACGUGUAUGUGUUUGGGGGUCAUUAAAUGAUUUGGUUUGGGUGUCAAUUAAGCCCCAAUCGUGGAACAAGACGCGGCAGAUGGGACCUCAGCCCUCCAGGAGUUUUCAGCCAACUCGGUAGGACGCGAGUCUGAUACAGGCCCAAAGGAGUGAAGAUUUCCAUCCACCGUAAUUUUUAGGUGAUUGUUCAACAGCUGGGCUGGGACUGGGGAGAGGCCUGUGGGCGCUGAGGACGCAGAAUUGAAGAAGGCAAAAUUUCAGGGUCAUGCAGGUGUGCCAGGAAAUUACCUGGGCAGCUUUGUGGAAAAUCAAUGGACCCUACAAAUUCUUGACUCUGUUCUGUCCCCUUGGCCUGUUUGUCUAACCCUGUGUCAAUACCACACGGGCUUGAAUGCUGUGCUUUAAGUAAAUUGUGAAUCAGACAGUGCGAGUCCACAAACUUUGUUCUUGUCUAAAGUCCUAAUCAAAACCCCAGGGGCCGGCCGGGUGGUGCAGCGGUUAAGUUCGCAUGUUCUGCUUCAGCGGCCCAGGGUUUGCUGGUUCGGAUCCUGGGUGCAGACAGUGCACCGCUUGGCACACCAUGCUGUGGUAGGCGUCCCAUAUAUAAACUAGAGGAAGAUGGGCACGGAUGUUAGCUCAGGGCCAGUCUUCCUCAGCAAAAAGAGGAGGAUUGGCAGUAGUUAGCUCAGGGCUAAUCUUCCUCAAAAAAACCCCCCCAAAACAAACAAACAAACAAACAAAAUCCCAGCAGGCUCUUUGCAGCAAUGGACAAGCUAGUUCUAACAUUGUGUGGUACACGAGGGACCUGGGAUCGUGCCCUGUGCCCCUUUGUGGGGAUCUGGAGUCCGUUUCUUUCUGCCCCAUGGACUCUGUCUGCAUUUACUGCGGUGUGCGUCUGUUGCUGACGCAUUCUCUAGCAUUUGUACAUCGGAAAAAGCUGCUCUUUCAUCUUUGUUUUUGGAGGAUAUUUUUGCUGGGUAUAGAAUUCUAGGUUUGUUUUGAUUCUUUCCUUCAGGACUUGAAAGGCCAUGCUCUCCUGCCUCCCGGCUUGCCUUCUUUUCAGACGAGACAUCUGCUGUCAGCCUUGUGUGUGUUCCUCUCUAUGAGAUCUGCUUUGCCCCUCUGGCAGCACUUCAAAUUUUUUAUUUAUCACGUAUUUUGUGCCACUUGAUUUUAUUUUGUGGUAGUUCUCUUCAUAUUUCCUGGGCUUGAGCUUCAUUGAGCUUCUUGGCUCUGUGGCUUUAUAGUUUUCAUUAGAUUUGGAAAAUAUUUCAGCCAUUAUUCUUCAAAUAUUUUCUUCUCUUCCCCUCUUCCUUAGGGUACUGCAAUUAUUCACAUAUUAGGCUCCCUGAAGUCGUCCCAGAGCCAACCCAUGAUCUGCUCAUUUUUUUCCCUUUCAUUUUUCUCUGUGUGGUUCAUUUUGGUUACUUUCUAUCAUUAUGACUUCAAGUUCACUAAUUUUUUGUCCUGUGAUGUCUAAUUGGCCAUUAAUCCUUCCCAGUGUGUUCAUAGUUUUGUCUAUAUGCUGUAUAUUAUUGAGUUUCAUACUCUCUUGGGAUGAGUGGAGAGUGGCGCCAACUGUCCUGCAAGAGUGGAUUUUGCGGGCUGUCAACCGAAUAAGGGUGUGCAGAGCCCUCCACUCUGGCUGGGGAGAACUCCCGUGCUACCAGCUCUGCGCCGUAUCGCAAUCUCCCUUCCCCUCCCCGCCUCCAGCUCCCGCUGCUCUGCGCCAGGCGUCACAGAAGCUUGCCGCGUGCAUAUGCAGCUCAGCAUUCAGCCAAAGGCUAGAGGGAUCCCUCUCUAGAUUUCUGGAGCUCCUUCUGUGUGCAGCAGUCUCCUCUGAAGCUCUCCGUCUUGCAAAUUCCAGCUGCACUGGGAGCCCCGGACACUCGUUUCUGCCUCUCUGUCCAUGGAGACCACUGCUCUGCUGGGGCUCCACUUCCCUGUACCAGAGUUUGUAAAGACCGCCCCCCUGCCCUCUGUCAGGAAGCCUGGGUGAACGUGGGACCCGCCUGUGGGACCCCGUCUCUCGAGGGUCGUGGGGCUGCACUGUCUGCUGUCCAAUGCCUGAAAAAAGCUGCUCCGUACAAACGUCUACAGGGGUUCAUGGUGGGAAGGGGGGGGCCUAGGGCCCUCACACCACGAGGGCCGGGUCUGGGGGUUUAGUUUCUGCUUUUCUGCCGACUCGGUCACAGCCAUGAGUCUGCAGCCGCAGGAGGUGCUGACGCCUGAGCUCACUGUGCCAUCCCGCCUGGAGGACCACGCAGUCUCACGAGGAGUCUCACGGCAGCUUCUCAGAGACGCUGGUCAGAGGACACUUGACUACACAAGAGGCACUCCUGUUGGCUUUCCCUGGGGCCCUGGACCAAGUCCUCUCCCAUCGUUUCCGAGGGCCUCCAUCACUCGGGCCACUCCGGGUCCCAACAGGGGGUGAGGCCACCAUCAUCGGUGUCCCCACGCCCACGUUUCACCCACCCUGCCUCUGGGGAAGGGACGCAAAGAGACAGGAUCUAAGUCAGGAAACACACAUCCCCAUGACAGAGGGAACCAGUUUCCUCCCAGAAUCGCCACCUUGGCAGCACACUGUGCAAGCCUGAGACCAGCUGGGCCCAGGGCUGGCUGGAAGAUGACCGGGAGCCAGAAAGAGGGUGGCUCCUCCCUGCAGUGCCGAGUCCCUGGGGCAGUGGGACCCUCGCGUGUUCGCUCAGGCCCAGAGCAGAGCCUGGCUGUGUCCACAGGCUGCAGGCGCCGUCCCAGGCCUCCCAGGGGGAAUCUUGGAUCUCUGGGCAUUUCAUGGAAACUAGCUUGGUCAACAUAAGUGAUUUUUCAAACUACUGCUACUGAUAAUUUCCACCAUUUUAUUGGGUGGCUGCUACUUGUGGACCACCUGCUAAUUGUUUUACAUGCGUGAGGCAGGCACUCUCCUUGUCUGCUUUCUCCAGGUGAGGAAAUUGAGGAUCAGAGAGGUAAAUUAACCUGGCCAGGAUCACACAGCUGGUGAGUGGCAGCAGAGAAGGGAUUUGUACUCUUAGCCAUGACACUAGGUUGCCUUCUGUGUUCACUGUUUAAGCUUGAAAAGGUUUUUAGGUCUAAACAUGUAGUUGGGGGAAAGGAAAAACAAGAGAAUUAGCAUUAAAUUAACACCUUUAGUAAUACUAACAGCAGCACAUCUCAUUGACCCCUUGAGGCUCUUCUCUUCUCCUUCGCAUUUUAUCAUCUCUGAAACGUGGAUUCAUCUUGCAGUGCUCGUGUGUCUAGUUCAUGUCGGUCUGAGGGUCUGCUGGUUCACCCAUGAAUUUGGGCUGCUUUCCAGGCUCUGUGAGCUCAAGAAACAGCAGAUCACUAAGUCCAGGCCCUGACCUGGGGGCUGCUCGGGCCUUUUGGAAAGCAGGCCCCGAAAGACGACAUUCUCCUCUGGCCGUGGCAGACUUCCGUGCAUGGAAGUGUUUCCCGGAGCGCAAGGAACAAAGUCCCUGUGUCAGAGGGAGCAGGUCACCGCGCGACUCACUGGGACUCUCAGGCGCUGGGGAGGGGCUGCCGGCCGGCCCUGCUGGGCUCUGGCAGCUCACUGCUGGGUCCAAGCUGCUGCUUUGCCACUUACUAGCUGUGCGACUCGGGCAAGUGACUUCCGCUCCCGUGCCUCGGUUUCCUCCUCGGUAAGGUAACUCCUGUGGAAUAUCGCCUGGCACGUGGUGCGUGCUCCGUAAACCCAGUUGUCCUGAGGAUUCAUCGGGAGGACGUUCCCAGGAGAGCUCUUACCAGCCCAGAGCUGCAUCUGCUUAUCUCAAAGAGCAUUACGUCUUGAAGGAACACAGAGCCCUUCCAUGUGAGCUGCUGGUCCUUGGAAUUCUGGUCCUGCAAGGACAGUUGGUUUUGGUACAUUUAUUGAGCACCUGCUGCAUGCUGUCUCUGGGCUGGUGGCACACGGCCGAUGAGGCGCAGUCCCUGCUUUCACAGACUUCACCGUCCAUGAGGAGAUGGAACAUAACCCAGGAAGCAAAGGCGUGACCAGAAAUUGUGAUACCGCCAUGGAGGAAAUGGGUUUGGGGGAGAAUGUGCAAAGGGUCCCAGAGGUGGUGACAUCUGAGCUAAACCUGAAAGAGCAGAAGAAGCCAAUCAUGGGGCAGGAAGGGAUUCCGGGCAGAGAAGCCUUGACCAAAUGCCCAGGGGCAGGAAGCGGCACUGAACCAAGGCCGAUGUGUGGCGUUCGGUGCGGACAGAGGAGAACAGUGAGAGACGGUGUGGGGCCGCGGCUUUGGAGCGCAAGCCUAGGAACAAAGGGAGACCAUGGAACGAGUUUAAGCAGGAGAGUCAAGCAAUACAGAGGAUUUUCUGAGAAGAUCAACUGCUGUGUGGAGGAUGGAGGGGAAAGAAGGACAGUGGGAAUGGGGGGCCGGCCAGGCAGCGGGUGUGCUCGUUCAGAAGAGGCGAUGCUGGCCUUGCCCAGGGGCCAGGGAGAAGUGAGGGCCUUUGGGUAGGUUUGGUGGUGGAGGAGAUGGGUUUGUGGCGUCAGCAGGAGGAGCCUUGAUUCUAUCCUCGGAUUUGUCACUGGCCAGGUGGAUGGACCUGGGGAUUUCUCAUUCUUUGUUUUCUUUUUUCAAUUUUAAAAAUUGUGGUAAAAUUCACAUAACAUAAAAUUUACCAUCUGAACCA